RNAcentral lists this small RNA (147 nucleotides) under Heterosigma akashiwo. Its description in RNAcentral is "partial transfer-messenger RNA". Lineage: Eukaryota; Raphidophyceae; Chattonellales; Chattonellaceae. The record is from RNAcentral.
UGGCCAAAUCUGUUGCUUUCGCUGCUCUUGCUGGUCUUGCCGGUGUGUCUGCUUUCCAGCAGCCUGCCCCCAUCCAGAAUGCUGUGUCCGGUGCCUCCAAGAUGACCAUGAUGGCCGAGAUGAGCAAGGCCGUGCCUUUCCUCACCA